ACGCCGGUAGCUCAGCUGGUAGAGCAGCGGAUUCCAAAUCCGCAGGUCGUGGGUUCGAUCCCCUCCCGGCGUG
RNAcentral lists this transfer RNA (73 nucleotides) under Phycisphaerae bacterium. RNAcentral's name for it is "tRNA-Trp". It matches the Rfam family "tRNA". From Rfam's summary of the family: Transfer RNA (tRNA) molecules are approximately 80 nucleotides in length. Their secondary structure includes four short double-helical elements and three loops (D, anti-codon, and T loops). Further hydrogen bonds mediate the characteristic L-shaped molecular structure. tRNAs have two regions of fundamental functional importance: the anti-codon, which is responsible for specific mRNA codon recognition, and the 3' end, to which the tRNAs corresponding amino acid is attached (by aminoacyl-tRNA synthetases). tRNAs cope with the degeneracy of the genetic code in two manners: having more than one tRNA (with a specific anti-codon) for a particular amino acid; and 'wobble' base-pairing, i.e. permitting non-standard base-pairing at the 3rd anti-codon position. RNAcentral also lists the same sequence under 1 other name. The record is from RNAcentral. Lineage: Bacteria; Pseudomonadati; Planctomycetota; Phycisphaerae.